This 225-nucleotide ribosomal RNA is filed under the name uncultured bacterium. RNAcentral's name for it is "partial 16S ribosomal RNA". It matches the Rfam family "Bacterial small subunit ribosomal RNA", at positions 524 to 750 of the family's 1533-position model. The record is from RNAcentral.
UACGUAGGGGGCAAGCGUUGUCCGGAUUUAUUGGGCGUAAAGAGCGUGUAGGCGCCAGGUAGGUCUGCUGUGAAACUCGAGGCUUAACCUCGAGCUGUCGGCGGAAACCAUCUGGCUAGAGUCCGGAAGAGGAGAAUGGAAUUCCCGGUGUAGCGGUGAAAUGCGCAGAUAUCGGGAAGAACACCCGUGGCGAAGGCGGUUCUCUGGGACGGUACUGACGCUGGA